AGUGAACGCUGGCGGUAGGCCUAAUACAUGCAAGUCGAACGGCAGCACAGUAAGAGCUUGCUCUUACGGGUGGCGAGUGGCGGACGGGUGAGGCAUACAUCGGAAUCUACUUUUUCGUGGGGGAUAACGUAGGGAAACUUACGCUAAUACCGCAUACGAUCUACGGGUUAAAGCAGUGGAUCUUCGCACCUUGGGCGAUUGAAUGAGCCGAUGUCGGAUUAGCUAGUUGGCGGGGUAAAGGCCCACCAAGGCGACGAUCCGUAGCUGAGCUGAGAGGAUGAUCAGCCACACUGGAACUGAGACACGGUCCAGACUCCUACGGGAGGCAGCAGUGGGGAAUAUUGGACAAUGGGCGCAAGCCUGAUCCAGCAAUACCGCGUGGGUGAAGAAGGCCUUCGGGUUGUAAAGCCCUUUUGUUGGGAAAGAAAAGCAGCAGGUUAAAACCCCGCUGUUUUGACGGUACCCAAAGAAUAAGCACCGGCUAACUUCGUG
This 492-nucleotide ribosomal RNA is filed under the name uncultured bacterium. RNAcentral describes it as "partial 16S ribosomal RNA". It matches the Rfam family "Bacterial small subunit ribosomal RNA", at positions 29 to 507 of the family's 1533-position model. The record is from RNAcentral.